This 888-nucleotide unclassified non-coding RNA is filed under the name Thermoascus aurantiacus. RNAcentral's name for it is "sequence contains 28S rRNA gene". It matches the Rfam family "Eukaryotic large subunit ribosomal RNA", at positions 59 to 964 of the family's 3401-position model. Lineage: Eukaryota; Fungi; Ascomycota; Eurotiomycetes; Eurotiales; Thermoascaceae. The record is from RNAcentral.
AAGAAACCAACAGGGAUUGCCCCAGUAACGGCGAGUGAAGCGGCAAGAGCUCAAAUUUGAAAUCUGGCCCCGUCGGGGUCCGAGUUGUAAUUUGCAGAGGAUGCUUCGGGUGCGGCCCCCGUCUAAGUGCCCUGGAACGGGCCGCCGGAGAGGGUGAGAGUCCCGUCUGGGACGGGUGGCCGCGUCCGUGUGAAGCUCCUUCGACGAGUCGAGUUGUUUGGGAAUGCAGCUCUAAAUGGGUGGUAAAUUUCAUCUAAAGCUAAAUAUUGGCCGGAGACCGAUAGCGCACAAGUAGAGUGAUCGAAAGAUGAAAAGCACUUUGAAAAGAGAGUUAAAUAGCACGUGAAAUUGUUGAAAGGGAAGCGCUUGCGACCAGACUCGCCCGCGGGGGUUCAGCCGGCACUCGUGCCGGUGCACUCCCCCGCGGGCGGGCCAGCGUCGGUUUGGGCGGUCGGUCAAAGGCCCCCGGAAUGUGUCGCCCCUCGGGGCGUCUUAUAGCCGGGGGUGCAAUGCGGCCAGCCCGGACCGAGGACCGCGCUUCGGCAUGGACGCUGGCGUAAUGGUCGUAAGCGACCCGUCUUGAAACACGGACCAAGGAGUCUAACAUCUACGCGAGUGUUCGGGUGUUAAACCCGUCCGCGCAGUGAAAGCGAACGGAGGUGGGAACCCCUCGCGGGUGCACCAUCGACCGAUCCUGAUGUCUUCGGAUGGAUUUGAGUAAGAGCGUAGCUGUUGGGACCCGAAAGAUGGUGAACUAUGCCUGAAUAGGGCGAAGCCAGAGGAAACUCUGGUGGAGGCUCGCAGCGGUUCUGACGUGCAAAUCGAUCGUCAAAUUUGGGUAUAGGGGCGAAAGACUAAUCGAACCAUCUAGUAGCUGGUUCCUGCCGA